Molecule: non-coding RNA, 81 nt
Filed under: human gut metagenome
Also listed under: 1 other name
Description: Glycine riboswitch
Rfam family: Glycine riboswitch aptamer
About the family: This family represents the bacterial glycine riboswitch. Glycine riboswitches usually consist of two metabolite-binding aptamers domains with similar structures in tandem.
Source: RNAcentral
AUUCUCUGGAGAGUCUCAUGAUGAGCGCCGAAGGUGUAAGGUGGAAUUGCCGCCGAUCUCUCAGGCAAAAGGACAGAGCAG